Molecule: ribosomal RNA, 266 nt
Filed under: uncultured bacterium
Lineage: Bacteria
Description: partial 16S ribosomal RNA
Rfam family: Bacterial small subunit ribosomal RNA
Source: RNAcentral
GUCCAAGCUGUAAAUUAUGUUUGCUAGGUGUCUCCUCUUCGGAGGGGGUGCCGUAACCUAACGGGUUAAGCAAAUCGCCUGAGUAGUAUAUUCGCAAGAAUGAAACUCAAAGGGAUAGGCGGGGGAACACACAAGCAGUGGAUUAUCUAGAUUAAUUGGAUACAAAGCCAAGAAUCUUACCCGGACUUGACAUGCAUUAUGUCUACGGUGAAAGCCGUAUAGUUAUAGCAAUAUAACGUCUUGCACAGGUGGUGCAUGGUCGUCGU